MicroRNA precursor from Oryza sativa Japonica Group (Japanese rice), 197 nucleotides. It matches the Rfam family "MIR812 microRNA precursor family". Lineage: Eukaryota; Viridiplantae; Streptophyta; Magnoliopsida; Poales; Poaceae. The record is from Rfam.
UUUAAGUAUAGUUGUGGGUUUCUAUGUCCAAUGUUUAAUCAUUUGUCUUAUUUAAAUUUUUUUUUAAAAAAAAUAAGUUAAGCAUAAAGUAUUAUUCAUGUUUUAUCAUCUAAUAAUAAUAUAGAUACUAAUCAUAAAAAAAUUUAAAUAAGAUGAACGGUUAAACGUUGGACAAUAAACCCACAAUUGUAUUUAAA